Molecule: long non-coding RNA, 4305 nt
Organism: Neofelis nebulosa (Clouded leopard)
Lineage: Eukaryota; Metazoa; Chordata; Mammalia; Carnivora; Felidae
Exons: 7
Source: RefSeq, a predicted model, not a curated record
AACACAUUCGUGUACUGGAAACCCGUUCGGUGGGUCAAGGUUAAAAAACGGAACAGGAUAGAAACGGUCAGAUUUUAGGUAUGUGUGAGUGUGCAUUCGGUCAAGAUGUAAAAUGCAUUUCUCACCGUAGGCCCCUUGGACGAGGUCACAGUGGUGGUGAUGGAAGGGCCCUGCAGACCGUGAGAGAACGAGGUCAAGGUCAGAACUGAUUCCUGGAAAGGCUGACUUCUGAGGACUCGGGCUUGGAGGAGCCUGAGGAAAAGAAGGCAGGGGUCCUUGCAGCCCUCAUCCCCAGGCUGUGCCUUGUGGACGAUGACUCACAGCUGGACUGAAUGAUCCAGAAAGACCCAGAUUAGCUCAGAGGUGGCCCAGACAGGAAAAUGAGACGCAAAGAGCAUAAAUGCUGAAGGAGAGAGAGAGGAGUUAGAAAGAGGACAGCCAUGUUCUUCCUGGACGGGGCUGAAUGGUGGCCUCCGAAAAGGGCUUGUGGUGCUUUGUUACGGCAGCCACAGGAAACUAAUACACACUCGUUUCUUCGGGGGAUUGUCAUGGAACCAGCAAAUCUGGCUACACGGCAAAUGAACCGAUGCAGAACGAUGGUGAGCGGUCAGCAUGAUCAUGCUUUUCAGGCUGUCCUGUUUCCUCCCCUUGGAGCCCCCUAUGGAGCACAUGCUGUUAUUAUCCUGACUUCACAGGCAAACAAACUAAGGCAAUGCUGUAGGUAACUCGCCAAGGUCACCGGCGGGCGGGUGGGAGUGCCCUAAGUGGCAGCCUUCCUAGGCCCCCGACGUCAGGUGACGGGAAGAGCGUGAGGUCUAUUGGCCGAGCAGCAGCAGGAGGUUGGGCACUGAACCAAAAACGGGAGGACGAAAGCGUGUCACCUUAACCCUGUGAAGGGCCCGCCUUCUCCCCUGGGCCAGAAUUAUCCAGAGGAAGCCAUGGCACGCCCACCUGAUGGAAUGGUGUGCACCCAUCGAAGACGGCCUUCUGAAGCCUGUAGCAUCAUGGGAAAGGAUGACGUCGCCAAGCGAACAACGCUCCCUGCAGAAUUGCCUCUGUGCAGGGUCGCCCCCCUGGCAGUGUGACGUGUGCACGUGGGUGUAGCUGGAGGGGACUCUUGAGCCACGUGGCUCUCCACACCGUCUCUGGUCAGAUGUCCUUGCCUUUACGCAUGCCCAAGUUGAUGGCCGGGGGCUGGUCACUUGGCCCCAGGUUCGCCAGCCAGCGGUUCCCUUAGGAAUACAGAGUAGUGAUUCCUCGGGUGCCUGGAGCUUGGGUGCUGUGCACUCACGCGAGGGAGCUGUGGGUCGCUUACGCUGCUCAAAAGGACUGAAGCCAUCAGAGAAGCUGCUGUGCAGAGACAGAGACUGAGAGAGAAUCAAGAAGCAGAUGUAGAGAGGAAGAGACAGUCACAGGCUGAAAGAAGAAAACCAGCCACCAUGCUUGCUGUUGAGAAACCCCAGCCCUGGGGGAUGGCCCAGUCUGCGGCUGAAUAUUCUACUGGACAGGAUUUCAUGGCAGUGGUUGUUGGGUCAAUGACAUGACCCAAAACAAAACUGACAGCCAAUUAACUAAGCUUCUGUGGGAAUCGAAACUCCAGGAAACCCUAAAACCUGGCAAACUGGGGCUUGUGACGGCUUACCCUCUGGGUGAUUCCUAAGCCCACGUCCCAGCACCAAUGUGAAGCAGGUUCCCGGGUAGCUGUGUCCCCUCCUAGAACAAGGUGUCCCAAGAAUCUCUCAAGGGCGGGUCUGCAAGACCCCAGAGAAGGGAUCCCUUCCCAGUGGGCAGGACCGGGGGCGGCCAUGUUUGCCGACCAAGAAGCCGAAGAAGGUAACCCGUAAAGCAAACCCCGUGAAUAUCUUGUUCCUGAGGUUUAAUUUACUCCUCUUGGCUAGAAGACCAGGAUGUGUGCUCUGUAUCUUCCUUCGCUUUUCUGCUCUAGAGAUCAAGCACGGAAGGAGAGGUUAAACUGAUCGCUUAGCCUACAGAUUGAGACAGAUCCAAGGAGCCACCUUAGAUGAGACUCCGUAGAAAUAGACAGGACCGGGUGUCAGCUGAAGAUACCAGCUCUGAGAAUGGAGCCCUGGACACAAUAGUUGGACCUGACUUGGAUCGCCUCCCAUUUGGCAGGGGGACGAGAUAUUUGCGGCGGACUUUGUGGCAUAACGAUUAAGCAAGAGCAAUCAGAAUGGAGAUAUCUGGGGAAAGCCGAAGGAAUUAAGCGUGUCUGUGUGUGUGUGUGUGUGUGUGUGUGUGUGUGAUGGAGAGUGGAUGCUCUUGGCCGUCCAUCUGGCCCCCUCUUCUCGUAGCCCUUCCUCGCUUUGUCAUGACAGAAAUGUAGCAUAUAAACUUGACCGCUGGCCAUAACCGAUUCCUGCUUCCCGGGGUUUGGGACCCGGACAUAGUUCUCUCUGGGAGAAGGGAUCCAGGCCACAUCAGCAUGGCAGGUGUGACGCAGGUGGGCAAAUGGGACAGGCAAGCAAGCGGUGCUGAGAAAGAAUCCAAGAGCUCUGAGUUCUCGUGCUCCAAACUGGGCUGCGUGUCUGGGCUCCAUGAGAACAUCCUGUGCCUUUGCUAUAAAGUCUCCUUUCCUGCUUGAGCAGUCAGCGACUGAUUUCUGAUUCUUGGGGUCACUCAUUUGCUGGGACAGCGACCUACCCUGGGGCAUGCGGCUGGAGAACAAACUUAAGACAUCUAAUAAUCAAGAGAGCCAACUGGACUAGCCCCCCCCCCCCCCCACCUGGGGUUAUCUCCCACCACCUCCUCCUGCCCUUCAUGCUGCACCAAGGGCUGCGACUUGUGGCUCCGGACCACCCCAAGCUCCCUGACUCUGGGCCUUUGCUCAUGCUGUUCCCUUUGCCUGGACUGCCCUUCCCAACUGUUCCUCUUGCCCUCUCCGCCUCUUUCCUUGCCUGGCCGGUUGGCACAGAUAUCGCCCACUUGGCCCCUGUCUAGAAGGGUCUUUGUUCCAGGCUGCAGCAUCCCCUGUACUGUAGCACUCGGUCUGCUCAGUUCCGACUGCCAGGGUGCUGGCUGCUCCUCAGAGCGGGGCCUCCGCAUGGAUCGGGCUGGCAUCCCGGCGUGAGCUCGGUGUCGGCACCCAGAGUGUUACAAGUGAGUCUGUAGAAGUGUGGGAUGAAUGAAUGAAUGACCCAGUCAUGGCUGGACAGGAUUUGCCCAGCAGAAGGGUCAGGGGUCUGCAGCCAAGGGAGAGGAAGGACAAAGGCCCUGGUCCUGCCAGCGUGGGAACAGCUCCUUCCUUUCCUUCCAGCAGGCGCCCAACACCCAGGGACUGGGAGCCAGAUGCUCAGAGGCUUGACAGCCUCAGGGAGUCCAGACUCACCUUCCAGAGCGGCCCCUCCACCCCUCAUAUCACCGGACAUGGGGGUUAAGCCUGGAUCGGUCCAUCUCGUGCGCUGAUGAAAGGGCAAUGGUGCAAAAUUCGUUGGGGAGAAAAACAGGAAGUGGAGCCUGAGAGCAAAAGCUGCAGAAACGCUCCCCGGGCGUUGGCCGCCCUUUCACCCGCAGCCUUACAGGAAAGUGGUGAGGGGGCAGCCCCAGCCCGGGCCGUGGGGGCGUGGGGUGGGGGUGCUGGUGGGAGAGUCCAGGAAAGACCCUUCCGCUGUAUUUUUAGGGGCUGUGUCUUAUAGAGCAAACGCGACAUCUGUGUCCUGCACUUGACAUCUCUCACCUGUUCACAGCGGCUCCUCAAGCCGGGGACUCGGGGUAGCCCCAGUCCUCUAGCUUCACACCUGACAGGCAUCGUCAGAGUGAGAGCAAGGAGAAGAGGUACCCAGGCAGGGGUGAGGUCAAGGAGCAGGGAGACAACGCCCCGAAGGCCCUCCCCCCCCACCGGAGCCCUCACUUGGACCCCAGCUCUCCCGGCCCCGGGACACGACGUCCAGGUCCCCGUCAUCCCACAGAGUCGUAGAUGGAGCCCCCCAGGCCCACGGAACCUGGCCACCGGUACAGAAGGCACCGCGGCCCCCCACCCCCCAUCUCUGAGGUUGAAACCACAAUGUCGUGCUGUGGCCUUCACUCACCCGUCACGACAGGGGUCCCUUUCCCAGAAGCCUCUGGGGGCUUCCAGACCACAGCAGAAGCCAGGUGUCACCAAGCCUCGCGGUCUGGGCCACCACCAAGGGACGAGGCUCCAAGUUUCACUCAUCCAUUCAACACACGUUGUCAAAUGUCACCAGACACGGUCCUGGUGCCCUGAGGAUACUGCGGUGACAACGACUCUGCCUGCGGGACAUUCAGGUGGGGGGGCGGGGCAGAUUCGGAAAUAAACAAGAAACAAAC